UUGUAUUACACUUUGAACUAACCUAGAGGCCGUGCUUAGGCGAAAAUCGAUAUCAGUGAAGUAAUCCCGGAACUCUAGAAAUCGUGAAGAAUUUAUUCCAUUCCAUUUUGUUAAAUAUCGCGAAUAUAGUGGAAAAAACUCUAGAACAUUCCUUUGAAUGGAAUUGUUCAUUGGGUUCGACUUGUUGUUCGACAAAAUAGAAAGCUGUCUCUCGUAUGUUAUUGUAAGGUGAUUCAUUCAUAAUAUUUCUUAUGUGCGGUUUCAAGAUGCUAAAAAAGUAGAUUUGGUAAUCGGCUUUUGAGCUCCAUUAUGUGGACUUCAUCAAUUUGUGAAUUAUGGACUUGGCGGUAGUG
This 353-nucleotide long non-coding RNA is filed under the name Hordeum vulgare. RNAcentral describes it as "long non-coding RNA (HVUL_LNC011577)". The record is from RNAcentral. Lineage: Eukaryota; Viridiplantae; Streptophyta; Magnoliopsida; Poales; Poaceae.